Molecule: long non-coding RNA, 828 nt
Organism: Acromyrmex echinatior (Panamanian leafcutter ant)
Lineage: Eukaryota; Metazoa; Arthropoda; Insecta; Hymenoptera; Formicidae
Gene: chb
Source: RefSeq, a predicted model, not a curated record
GGUCAUCUAAAAAGUAUCCGCGGUACUUUGUCACUAGAUAUAUCCACCAUCAACACACAUCUAGUGUUAUAAAACGCUAAUAUGGCUUUGUGAUUGUUUUAUCUUAAGACUGCAUUUAAGACAGUCUAAAUAUAAGAAUUAAUUGUGAAUACCGGCGGUGAAUACCAAGAAUCUGAUUAGAUUGGAUUACAUCUGUUUUAGUUUUAGAAUUCGAAUGUUCCGCUUUUGUCCUGAAGCAUCAUGAAGUUGACGUCGAUGCGCGACAUCGAUGCAAGACUUCGAGUCGAAUGGAUCUCACGCAAGUUCAGUCCGUUCGCGACGCAUCUUUGAAUUUAUUCUUCGUGUGCUUCAAUAAUGCGUGCGAAGAAGUACUUCCUCGAGCCACGAUGUCGUAGAUUUAGACUUUUACCCGCGCUCGAUCUGUUGGAUCCGGCUCGACAAAUCUCAACGCAGAGACGAAAGCCCGAGGAGAGGAAUAAAAUACUAGAGAAUAAAACGCGAAGAUAAGAAGCUCUGUCGAAAUUUUUUUCACGCCGAUAAAUUUGAACAAUAAGCUAUCAUCGCAACGACAUUACCACUGUAUUGAUAUUGUAAUUGCCAACUUGACAUAAGACAUUAAUACGAGACAUCGUUAUUGCUCUCUGCAUUUCCGUUUGCGAUCAAAUUGCCGUUUCUUCCUUUCUUUAAUACGAAUAAAGAUCGCAUUAAAUAUGUAUCGUAAUUUGGCAAUUGCAAUAACGAUUUCUGUCAUUGUUCGCUCGUCGAUUCAUUCGAGACCUAUCAGGAAUAUUGCGAAAGUUUCCUGAGGAAAUAAACAUUUGGUCCCAA